This 330-nucleotide long non-coding RNA is filed under the name Lathyrus oleraceus (garden pea). RNAcentral's name for it is "Pisum sativum (pea) long non-coding RNA (PSAT_LNC032725)". The record is from RNAcentral. Lineage: Eukaryota; Viridiplantae; Streptophyta; Magnoliopsida; Fabales; Fabaceae.
UUUCCUUUCUCUCACUCUUAUUUUAUAUUUAUGUUCUUUCAUUGAGGACAAUGUAUAUUUUAAGUGUGGGGGAAGGAACCAUUUAUUUGUUUUGUUUUCUUUGUUUUGUUUUCAGUUUUUCUCUGUUCUGAUUUUUGUUUGCUUUCUUAAAAAAAUUGCAUGAUUUUUCCUUUGGUUUUUGAGUUACAAUUAUGAGUAUUUUUCUUAGUUCUCCUGACUAAAGUCUUGUGGUGUGAUGUGAAAAUUUUGUUGUGUAUUUUUAGUAUGAUAGGUAUGACUAAACUCUAAAUUGUAUAUCAUUUGUGGUAUAUCAAUUAACCUUGUGAGAUU